This 465-nucleotide ribosomal RNA is filed under the name uncultured bacterium. RNAcentral describes it as "partial 16S ribosomal RNA". It matches the Rfam family "Bacterial small subunit ribosomal RNA", at positions 28 to 507 of the family's 1533-position model. The record is from RNAcentral.
GACGAACGCUGGCGGCGUGCUUAACACAUGCAAGUCGAACGGAAAGGCCCUGCUUGCGGGGUACUCGAGUGGCGAACGGGUGAGUAACACGUGGGUGAUCUGCCCUGCACUUCGGGAUAAGCCUGGGAAACUGGGUCUAAUACCGGAUAGGAGCCAUUUUUAGUGUGAUGGUUGGAAAGUUUUUUCGGUGUAGGAUGAGCUCGCGGCCUAUCAGCUUGUUGGUGGGGUAAUGGCCUACCAAGGCGGCGACGGGUAGCCGGCCUGAGAGGGUGGACGGCCACAUUGGGACUGAGAUACGGCCCAGACUCCUACGGGAGGCAGCAGUGGGGAAUAUUGCACAAUGGGCGCAAGCCUGAUGCAGCGACGCCGCGUGGGGGAUGACGGCCUUCGGGUUGUAAACUCCGUUCGCUAGGGACGAAGCUUUUUGUGACGGUACCUAGAUAAGAAGCACCGGCUAACUACGUG